Rhea pennata is the source of this 1101-nucleotide long non-coding RNA. RefSeq lists it as uncharacterized. The transcript is spliced from 4 exons. Lineage: Eukaryota; Metazoa; Chordata; Aves; Rheiformes; Rheidae. The record is from RefSeq and is a predicted model, not a curated record.
CGGGGUGGGGGGAGAGGCCGCCGCAGGCCCUGCCCGGCCCUGUCGAAGCUGCGCCUGUCUCAGGCGUGUAGCUGGCGCAGUCAAAAAGGAGCCGACAGCGAGCUGUUUUCCACGACGGUCGCUGCGCAGUUUGUCCUGUAACUGCGGAGCAACAUCCCGGGAAAACACACGUGCGGGAAAGGCCCCGGCCCGGCGGUAGGCCUCGGCCUCGGCCCAAGGCCGUGCGGCACAGCGGGGUCCCCACUGGGGUGGGUGCGUGGAGGAGGAGAGGUCGAGGGUAUCAGAGCUUUUCUGUUGUCCUAAAGGAUUUUCUCCGUGUAAGAAGCUGCCCAGCGUUGAAGACUGGAGCUGUUGCAGUCCUUCAAGCAUGGAAGGGGAUCCCGUGUACACAAGGUCAUGGUGUGGUGGUGGCCAGGGCUCAGCACCACGAGCAGGGCACUAGUGGUUCCUGGAGUGUGUGUGUGUUAGUGGCAUGUGUCCAUGCAGAGUAGUAUCUGCUGUCUGUUCCUGACCACGCAUGUUGCAGUGUGUUCCAGGGCUACUUGAUGAUCAGGAGCUUGCUCAACUGAUUGCCUGCCUGUUGGAUAGACCCACCAUGGCGCUUGCAAGGAAUCACUUGCUUAGUGGAAAAGGCUGAGAGCUCGUAGACCCAAGUGAUUAAUCUCUUGCUCCAGUGAAGAGGAUCAGUUUGCUCCCCAAAAGGCCUAUAUUGCGUGUGGGGAAGCUAUGCAGCUAAACACGUCUAAAUGGAUCACGCUGCUGAGAUGAACCAGUCUCUGAAGGUUUUGGUGCCUCUCUGCAAGUCUUCUGUCUCUUUCCAAGCCUCUCCUAAAGUAGUGGCAGUUCUGCAUAAGGAGAUUAAAAAGAUCCUGGUUCCUUUGUAAGCUGUGAGCUCCCCCAGGUGGGGCAACUGCUUUAAUUCAGGAGUCAUUAUUAUUACAAGUUGCAGGAGCUUGUUUCACUAUAGAUGUUACUAAAGUUUCAAAAUAUUCAGCGUAGGAGAAGUGUUCUGGCUACAGAGUUUUGUCAGGGGAAGAGUUUGGGGGAAGAGUCUGAAGUUAAAACAUUUGGAGAGUAGGAAAAAAAAUGCAUUUGAAAUUC